Molecule: ribosomal RNA, 487 nt
Filed under: Stenotrophomonas maltophilia
Lineage: Bacteria; Pseudomonadati; Pseudomonadota; Gammaproteobacteria; Lysobacterales; Lysobacteraceae
Description: bacterial SSU rRNA
Rfam family: Bacterial small subunit ribosomal RNA
Source: RNAcentral
AGAGUUUGAUCCUGGCUCAGAGUGAACGCUGGCGGUAGGCCUAACACAUGCAAGUCGAACGGCAGCACAGUAAGAGCUUGCUCUUAUGGGUGGCGAGUGGCGGACGGGUGAGGAAUACAUCGGAAUCUACUUUUUCGUGGGGGAUAACGUAGGGAAACUUACGCUAAUACCGCAUACGACCUACGGGUGAAAGCAGGGGAUCUUCGGACCUUGCGCGAUUGAAUGAGCCGAUGUCGGAUUAGCUAGUUGGCGGGGUAAAGGCCCACCAAGGCGACGAUCCGUAGCUGGUCUGAGAGGAUGAUCAGCCACACUGGAACUGAGACACGGUCCAGACUCCUACGGGAGGCAGCAGUGGGGAAUAUUGGACAAUGGGCGCAAGCCUGAUCCAGCCAUACCGCGUGGGUGAAGAAGGCCUUCGGGUUGUAAAGCCCUUUUGUUGGGAAAGAAAUCCAGCUGGUUAAUACCCGGUUGGGAUGACGGACCCAAA